This 492-nucleotide ribosomal RNA is filed under the name uncultured bacterium. RNAcentral's name for it is "partial 16S ribosomal RNA". It matches the Rfam family "Bacterial small subunit ribosomal RNA", at positions 29 to 507 of the family's 1533-position model. The record is from RNAcentral.
AGUGAACGCUGGCGGUAGGCCUAACACAUGCAAGUCGAACGGCAGCACAGUAAGAGCUUGCUCUUACGGGUGGCGAGUGGCGGACGGGUGAGGAAUACAUCGGAAUCUACUUUUUCGUGGGGGAUAACGUAGGGAAACUUACGCUAAUACCGCAUACGACCUACGGGUGAAAGCAGGGGAUCUUCGGACCUUGCGCGAUUGAAUGAGCCGAUGUCGGAUUAGCUAGUUGGCGGGGUAAAGGCCCACCAAGGCGACGAUCCGUAGCGGGUCUGAGAGGAUGAUCAGCCACACUGGAACUGAGACACGGUCCAGACUCCUACGGGAGGCAGCAGUGGGGAAUAUUGGACAAUGGGCGCAAGCCUGAUCCAGCCAUACCGCGUGGGUGAAGAAGGCCUUCGGGUUGUAAAGCCCCUUUGUUGGGAAAGAAAAGCAGCAGGUUAAUACCCCGCUGUUCUGACGGUACCCAAAGAAUAAGCACCGGCUAACUUCGUG